UCCUGCAUACCUCUCUGAGCACUGAGGGGAAGCGUUUGAUGAAGACAUCCCAGAUAGAAUGGAGGGCUCCAAAGUCUCUCACUCUUUACACGUCGUCCAGAGUGGGUUUCUGCAUUAGUUCCCCUCAAGAGGAAGCUUCUCUGAUGAGACAUUGAUGCCAGAUCAGAUGUGCAAUGGAACAAGAUGGAGACCUCUCAGCUCCUCCAGCUCCGGGCCUGCCUGCGUACCGCCAUGCUUCCUGCCGUGAAGAUUAUGGACCAUCCCUCAGAAUAAGCCAGCCCCUAUGGAAUGUCCUUUAUAAGGGUUGCCUUGAUCACGGUGUCUCUUCACGGCAAUGGAGAUCCUAACUAAGACACUGAUCAAGUAAAGACCAAGAGUGGGUCCAAGCAAUGUC
Molecule: long non-coding RNA, 394 nt
Organism: Mastomys coucha (southern multimammate mouse)
Lineage: Eukaryota; Metazoa; Chordata; Mammalia; Rodentia; Muridae
Exons: 2
Source: RefSeq, a predicted model, not a curated record